UACGGAGGGUGCAAGCGUUGCUCGGAAUUAUUGGGCGUAAAGGGUAGGUAGGUGGUCUCAUUUGUCUGGGGUGAAAGCCUUGGGCUUAACUCAAGAAGUGCCCCGGAAACGGUGAGACUAGAGUCCUGGAGAGGGUCGUGGAAUUCCCGGUGUAGCGGUGAAAUGCGUAGAGAUCGGGAGGAACACCAGAGGCGAAGGCGGCGGCCUGGACAGGAACUGACACUCAACUACGAAAGCGUGGGGAGCAAACAGG
This 253-nucleotide ribosomal RNA is filed under the name uncultured bacterium. RNAcentral describes it as "partial 16S ribosomal RNA". It matches the Rfam family "Bacterial small subunit ribosomal RNA", at positions 524 to 776 of the family's 1533-position model. The record is from RNAcentral.